Molecule: long non-coding RNA, 9678 nt
Filed under: Carica papaya (papaya)
Lineage: Eukaryota; Viridiplantae; Streptophyta; Magnoliopsida; Brassicales; Caricaceae
Description: long non-coding RNA (CPAP_LNC007369)
Source: RNAcentral
GAUCCAUUAACAAUGCCAUGGAUAAAAAUGUUUGGACUUAUCUUCCUAAUUAAGUUUAAAACAGCAUUCCUCGGACUAUUCGACACCACUGUUUCAUCAAGUAAGUUCCUGAACCGGAACAGACAAUUUACAGCAACAAACUCAUCAGGAUCAAGCUUCAGGUCAUCAAUUUUGAUGGUUUCCCAUUUUUGUCCGAUGGCAGUGUAUUGGAAUGGAACAUUAAAACGCUCACAAUAUUUUUCUAAGCGACGCCCUGUCUCCUGUACUCCUUCUGCUGGCCGGAAACCACUUUGUGGAAGCUCUAUACCUGUAAUUCGUAGUUUGGCAGGUCCCCCGGGUCUUAUUGAGAGGCGAUGGAUGAGGGCAGGCCACUGAAAACCAUACGAGAUUCCAAAGUCAAUGAUAUGAAGAGCUGUUGCCUUCUCAGCUGCAGACAAAGUAAUAUGGUUUGCAAAUAUAAUUGCAAUCUUCAUGAAUGGACAGCUUGAUAUAUAUGUCUGGUAAGCUUUCAACAUAACAACAGCCAAAUUUCUUUUGGAAGAAAGAGCAGAGUAAAUCUGAGCUCCAGUGCCGGCCAACCGCGCCUCAAGACUAUUAGCGAAAUAGUGAGCUAGCCUCUGGGAUCCAUCACCAAAAAAUGAAGAGUGCUGCCUAAUCUGUUUUAGUAGUUCAUUUGCAGUUCUGCUGUCAUUAGCAGCGACAGCUUGGGCACACGAAAUCAGCAGAGUCCUCAAAUCCACAACCUCCUCAUUCCUUCCUGAUUUCUUAACUUGAGAUUUUCCACCAUCAGAUCCAUUUCUCAGUCCAUUCUUCUUCAAUGUCUUGCUUGAUUCAUUCUGCACCAGAGCCUUCAGAGCUCCUUGCUCUGAGGAGUAAUCAAGAAUGCACACUCCAGGCUGCUCAUUCCUACCACUAAAAAGCAACACCUUAUCAAACAUCUCCGAUAGAUCACUCUCAUCUACAUAAACAGCUGACUGCUUCUCACCCCGCCCAUCUUCAAGAUCUUCAUCUUCUCGCUUAUGACUCUUCUUUCCUAUCAACUGAUUAGGUGACAGCUUCCUGUCAUCCUUCUCUGUCUUGACUACCACAUUUGGAGCCUUGUCCUUUAACUCUGCUGCCUGUUUGUAGCUCUCCAAGUCAAAAAUCAGCUGAUUACCUUUAGGAAGGAACUUACUGGCUUCCUCUACUCCCCUUUGGAACUGCAACACUGAGUGACUCUGAUUAAACAAAUUGUUAGCCAAAAGCUUACUCACCGAUGACCUCACCAAUCCAUUACCAUGAUAAGAAACAUUAUCAGCAGAGUUGAAUGAUGAUUUUUUACCAGAGUUUGCAGUGGACUGAAAUACAAAGUUAGUAGGAAAUGGUGUUUGUAACCAUGAUAGCUGAUGCUCAACAAGAUUACGAGUUGAUCUCGAAUCAAAUGAAGUGCUAGUACUAGGACUAGAAUGACUAUUGGUACUAGAAUCACUGAAACCACUGGAAUAACAGUCAUCUGGGUCAACAGUUUGAUUGCUGUAAAUAGGGGGUUGAUAGGGGGAAGGUGGAUACUUCUCACCGAUAACUUCAUAUAAUGAUUUCUCAGCUGCUUGAAGGGCCAAAGCAUCAUGAAACAUACAAGGCUUCUCUUCCAUGUCCUCCUCCAUAAGCACCUGGCUUAUGUACUUAAGAACAGUUUCCGAGAAGUCAUUAUCAUCAGAGUGGCAAGAAGAAUCACCCUCUAUAAUCCUGCUCCUGGACGGAUCAGAAUUUGGAAGCCUUGGAUCAGAUGGAACACCUAUAAACUGUAAAUCUAAGGUAGGGUUGUUCUGUUUGAAUCCAUCUCCUAAAUUUUGGCUCUGGUCUGAAUUGGGGAAAAUAGAUUCAUUCUCAAAUUUGAAACCUUCUAUGGAAUUUAAGUAUUCAUUAAACUGGUGAUCCAUAUUGAAUUUCUACUUUUCUAAUCAACCUCCCUAGACUCCUAAUCCUAUUAAAAAGAAUUUCACAGGAACCCUGGACCUCUAUCGGCGUCAAUCAAAAACCAGCCACAAAAAGAAAAGAAAGAAAAGAAAAGAGAAACAAAAGAUUUUCCUAAACCCCAAAAUCCAAUUCACAGAUUAAAAAACAAACACAUAAACGAAAUCAAAUUUAAAGAAGAGCCGAUAUCUUUUUUCUUUUUGGAAAUAAAGAGUGUGAAGUAUAUUAUGCGGCACAAAGGGGGUGCCAACCCUGUACAAAAAAUUUACAAAGAAGUAAUAAUAUUUAUGACAUUUCCAAAGUCAUCCUCCCUAUAAAUUAAAGAAGACCUGAUAUCAAAAAUCAACUACUUCUCCAUCCUCAACAACACUCCAUCAUCCACAACCAGAAACUAAACCCAAUACAGGAACUGAUAACACACUGAAAGUAGACAACCCAGAGAAAUAAACGUAAAGAAAACCUCAAAACUCGAUCACCUCCACUAAAACAAGAUUAAUACAAGGAAUCUUUGAUUCAGGAAAACGAAAAGCUACAUAUACAGGAGAAUAGAUACGGAUUCUGUGGUACUUUUUGAACCUUGGAGAAAGGCAAAGAAGUGGGUAAGUUAGAGGACGCCAAACCUCGUUCUUUGUCUUUUUAAACAAUGCUAAAGAAUCGGACAGCCUUUAUCUUCUUUCAUAAUCCUGCUUCAUGGAAGCAUCCUGGAGAAAGAUACUGAUUCAUCAGGUGGAAUAAAAUAUCAAACCCAAAACGCAAGAUCGUUUUCUCUCCGGCCUUUGACCAAACCCCUAACUGCUCUUCUUUUCAUUGGUCUGUCACCGGCGUCUACUUCUCUUUUACCCUGACUCAUUUGUUGUGUAAUCACCUGAGGUCUCUGAGUGUCUCCGUGCAUUUCGGAGACCGAAAAUCAAAGUCAAACGAGUGUGGUCAAGUCAGAACGAGCUGCUCCAGCCAAAAAAAAAACAAGGUUUGUUUGGAGAAAUCGUAUUUAUAUUUAUUAAUUUUUAACAUUUUAGAUAAGUUUCUUUUUAUUAAAAGAAAUUGUAAUCGAUAAUAUAUAAAUUGUUAUUAUCUUAGUUAUUUUAUUAUUUAAAUAAUUUUAUUUGUACCUUUAAAAAAAAAUAAUAAGUAAAUAUUAUAAAUCUAUACAUAUAAUUUUUUACCAAAUUAAUGAGAAAAGAUAAACAGAAAUCUUCCUACAUCCAUUGUAAAAAAUUGGAUUGCAUUAUGCGGUAAAUAUUUUCGACUCAACACAUCGUCUCAAAAGCUAUUUUUCUUUUAUAAAGAAAUUUAAAAAAAAUAAAAUAAUGCGUGUGUGAUUCGGGAACCAUAUCCGUUUAUUUAUAUCGAUGUACUUUUAUAUUUAUAAUUUUGUUCAUUAUAAAAUGAAAAAUUAUAAAAAUAAUAUCCGCACAUAUUAAUUUCAUAUAUAAAUUCGAUGCAUUAAGUCAAAUUUCGUUUAACUGUACUCGAUUAUUUUUAAACGAACUCAUAAAUUAACAGUUUGUUACGCACGUAUUACACCAAUAUAAUAUUUAAAGAAUUAAAUAUAAUUUUUUUUUGAGUAAUAAUAACUUUGCCAAUAAACUUUGUUCUAAAGUCUAAUAGGGUAUUAAAUUCCUUAUAUACAGUGUGAAAUUAUGAUGUCUUGAUUAAGACAAAGACACAGACAACACCUGAAUUUCUAUUUAAUUACUUUGUUUAUAACUAAACAUGUUCAUUAAAUUUAUUUAUAAUUAGCAAGUUGUAGUUUUUUUUUUUUUUUUUUUUUUACUCCUUUUGACAAUCUGAUACUUGGGGAACAAGAAUUAGAAGUGCUAAUCCACAUGCUUAAUAUAUAUAAUUUAAUACAAAAUUGUAGGACAAAUAAAAAUGUUGUUUGGAGAGUAGUAAAGCGAGAAACCAACAGCAGCAAUGCAUAAACAGAGGCAAAACCAAAAUGUUUCUGCAUCAUUGACGCUUCAAAAUCUAGGUAUUACAGUUCAACAAGAACUUGUGGAGGACACAAAUGUAAACUCUUAUUGCAUACAAAUGAAGAAGUAAUUUGCUUUGAUCUCAAAGUUACAUCACAUAAUAGUGUUGUGAUCAGGCAAAUGAAAGCAUGUUGGAGAACCCAGAUGAUGCGGAGAAUAUGCUUUCAUUGAAAUCGAGUUGGGUGCUCUAUUGCAGCGAUUAAAAAGUCUCCAGAGAACUUGCAGAUCUGAACAGCUUCCAAGUCCCAGACUGCUCUCUCGGUUAGAUUACUAAAAACUAAUAUCCCCACCUAUAAAGAAAGAAAAGCAUGUGCAAUUAAGUAUUGUUUGGAGAGGAGUAUGUGGGGGAGAAACCAACAGCAGCAAUGCAUAAACAGUCAUAUGUGGCUAAGGGUGUGUUUGGCUAAAUGUUUCUGCGUCUGCAUCAUUGAAGCUUCACCCUAAACAUUAAAUAAAGGAAAAGAUCACAAAAGGAUGCUAAGAACGCUGAAGACCAUGAAAAAGUAGAGUCUAUAUGUAAGAAGAUUCAGAUUCAGAGAAUGAGUCAUGAGGGCUUACUGUGUCAACUCAAGAUGAUGCUGUAUACAACGAAUGUCUUUCAAGAAACAAAAUCCCUUUUUUUUCUCUUCCUCUCCAUCUAAAACCAACAUGGCCCUUGUUGAUUUUUAAAGUUCCGAUGCUAUGCAGGUAUCCAAGCAGAGGAAGCACAGACAACACGUCCCUUCCAACCCUGCAGCAUCCAUCCACCAUCUUCAUCCACCAUAAAAUCAUUGUGGUAACCGUCUUUCACCUUGCAUUUAAAUUUCCUCAUCAGUUCAGGGUCCAAAGUCAGCUGUCUAAAUCCAGCUCGUAAAUUCCGACCCUGCCACUGCUUGUAUGUCUCGGGUCUCUCAACCCUCCCAUUUCCUUCGCAUGCUAUUACAUUCAUAAUCUCCCGCCCAUAGAACUCUUUCUCAAACAUCAACCUCAUCUCAUCUUCACGAGGCAUAUUAGUAUCACACAUAUCAAACAGUACAGAGUAGUAAGAGAGUGCCUCCUUGAAACGUGUGACAAAGAAGGGGGUAUUAUAGGAUCCAUUAACAAUAGCUUGGAUAAAAAUGUUUGGACUUAUCUUCCUAAUUAAGUUUAGAACAGCAUUCCUUGGACUAUCCAACGCCACUGUCUCAUCAAGCAAGUUCCUGAACCCGAACAGACAAUUUACAGCAACAAAAUCAUCAGGAUUAAGCUUCAGGUCAUUGAUUUGAUGGUUUCCCAUUUUGUCCAAUGGCAGUGUAUUCGAAUGGAACAUUAAAACGCUCACAAUAUUUUCUAAGCGACGCCCUGUCUCCUGUACUCCUUUCGCUGGCCAGAAACCACUUUGUGGAAAGCUCUAUCCCCGUUAUCCGUAGUUUGGGAGGUCCCCCCGGUCUCAUUGAGAGGCGAUGGAUGAGGGCAGGCCACUUAUAACCAUAAGAGAUUCCAAAGUCAAUGAUAUGAAGAGUUGUUGCUUUCUCAGCUGCGGACAAAAUAGUAUGGUUUGCAAAUAUAAUUGCAAUCUUCAUAAAUGGACAGCUUGAUAUAUAUGUCUGGUAAGCUUUCAACAUAAGAACAGCCGAAUUUCUUUUGGAAGAAAGAGCAGUGUAAAUCUGAGUUCCAGUGCCGGCCAAUCGUGCCUCAAGACUAUUAGCGAAAUAGUGAGCGAGCCUCUGGGAUCCAUCACCAACAGAUGAAGAAUGCUGGCUAAUCUGUUUUAGUAGUUCAUUUGCAGCCCUGCGAUCAUUAGCAGCCACAGCAUGGGAACACAAAAUCAGCAGAGUCCUCAAAUCCACAACCUCCUCGUUCCUUCCUGAUUUCUUACCUCGAGAUUUUCCACCACCAGAUCCAUUUGUCAGUCCAUUCUUCUGCAAUGUCUUGCUCGAGUCAUUCUGCACCAGAGUCUUCGGAACUCCUUGAUUUGGGGAGUAAUGAAGAAAGCACGCUCUAGGCUGCUCAUUUCCACCACCAAAAAGCAACAACUUAUCAAACAUCUCUGAUAGCUCACUCUCAUCUGCAUAAACAGCUGACUGUUUGCUGCUCCGCCCAUCUUCAAGAUCUUCAUCUUCUCGCUCAUGACUCUUCUUUCCUAUCACCUGAUUAGGUGACAGCUCCCUUUCGUAUUGUUCUGUCUCGAUUACCACGUUUGGAGCCUUGUCCUUUGACUCUGCUGCUGGUCUGUAGCCCUCCAAGUCAAUAAUCAGCUGAUUACCUUUAGGAAGGAACUUACUACCUUCCUCUACCCCCCUUUGGAACUGCAACAUUGAGUCACUCUCAUUAAACAAAUUUUUAUCCAAAAGCUCAUUCACAGACGAUGCCACCAACCCAUUACCAUGAUAAGAAACAUUAUCAGCAGAGUUGAACGAUGACUCUUGACUAGAGUUAGCAGCGGACCCAAAUACAAAGUUAGGAGGAACUGGUGUUUGUAACCAGGAUGGCUGAUGCUCGACAAGAUUACCUGUCGAUUGGGAAUCGAAGGAAGUGCUAGUGCUAGGACUAGAAUGACAGUUGGUACUAGAAUCACUGAAACCACUGGAAUAACAGUCAUCUGGGCUAUCAACGGUUUGAUUGCCGUAAAUAUGGGGUUGAUCAGGCGAAGGUGGGUACUUCUCACCGAUUACUUCAUAUAAUGAUUUCUCAGCUGCUUGAAGGGCCAAAGCAUCAUGAAACAUACAGGGUUUCUCUUCAAUGUCCUCAUCCAUAAGCACCUCGCUUAUGUACUUAAGAACAGUUUCACUGUCAAAUGUGAAACCCUCCAUGGAAUUGAAGUAUCCAUUAAACUGGGGAUCCAUAUUGGAUUUCUACUUUUCUAAUUAACCUUCCAAGACUCCAAACCCUAUUAAAAAGAAUUUCACAGGAACCUUGAACCUCUGUUAGCUUCAAAUUAAAAACCACCCACAAAAAAAAAAAGAGAAAAGAAAGAAAGAAAGAAAGGAGCAACAGCUUUUCCUAAACCUUAACACCUAAUUCACAGAUUAAAUGGAAUCAAAUUUAAAGAGAACAAGACAUCAAAAACAUUCCAUCAUCCACAACCAGAAACUAAAACCAAUACACGAACUGACAACACACUGAGAAUAGACAACCCAGAGAAAUAAACUUAAAGAAAACCUCAAAACUCGAUAACUUCCACUGAAACAAGGUGAAUAGAAGGAAUCUGUGACACAAGAAAACGAAGAGCUACGUAUAACACAGAUUCUCCGCUACUUUUUGAACCCUGGAGAAAGGCAAGGAAGCGGGUUAGUUAAAGGACCAAGACAGAGUUACCUCGUUCUUUUGUCCUUUCUUAACAAGGCUGAAGAAUUGGAGAGCCUGUCUUCUUUCAAGAUUCUGCUUCAUGGAAGCAUCCUGGAGAAAGAUACACCUUUAUCAGGUGGAGAAAAAUAUCAGACCCAAAAAGCAAGAUCGUAUCUCUCCGGCGUUGAUCACAGUCCUAAAUACUCUUCUUUAAUUGGUCUAUUAUCUGUUCCCGUCACCGGCGUUUCCUUCUCUUUCACCCUGACUCAUCCAUUUUCCAGUCACUUCGGAACCCAACCAGUGUAGUGUAGUGCGUCCUCUUUGCAAACGUCGCCUUUUAUCAACUGAUGAAUUCACGUGUUAAAAAUUUUAGACACGACACGGCUUCGUAGUGUGAAAUCGGCGCCAGCCGAAGGGAAAAAAAAAACGCAUGUUUGGAGAAUAUCGUAUUUUAUAUUUAUUAAUUUUUUUAUUUUAGAAGUAAUAGAAAAACAAUUUAAUAAAACUAAUAAUAGCAGUAAUGUGAAUCGUAUUUAUAUUUAUUAAUUUUUUAAAACAUUUUAAGAUAAAUUUCUUUUGAUUAAAAAGAAAUUGUUAUCGGUAAUAUCUAAAUAGUAGUAAACAUAAAAUAUACAGAACUACAAUAAAAAAGCUUCUUAUUUUAAAUGUAUUUUGCUUAUCUUAAUUAUUUUAUUAUUUAAAUAAUUUUUUCCGCACCUUUUAAAAAAAUAAUAACUAAAUAUUAUACCAAUAUGGUAUUUAAAUAAUUAAAUAUAAUUUUUCGACUAAUAAUAACUUUGCCAAUAAACUUUGUUCUAAAGACUAAUAGGGAAUUAAAUUCCUUAUAUACAGUGUGAAAUUUGUUCAAUAUUCAACGGAAAGAAAAAAACAACUUUUUAUUUCAGAAAUUAAAAAAAAAACAAUUUAAGGAAUCUAAUAAUAACAGUAAUAUAAAUUCAUAUGUUUAUUGAAUGCAUCGGUAAAAAGAAUACAAUCAUAACGAUGUAAACUGAUAAUGAGAUUGCCAAAUGCUUUUCUGCUGUUCUUCGGUUGAAAUCAACUUCUGAAAUAACAAAAUCUAGCUACAUUAAGGUGUCACAGAUCAACAAGAACUGGAGGAGGAGACAAAUGUAAUAUCCCAUCGUAUACAAAUGAAGAAGUAAUUUUCUUUGAUCAUAAAGUUACAUCGGAUAAUAGUGUUGUAAUCAGGCAACGAAAGCAUGUUGGAGAACCCAGAUGAUGUGGAAGAUAUGCCUAUUGAAAUCGAGUUGGGUUGCAGCAAUUAAAAAGUCUCCGGAGAAGUUGCAGAUCCGAACAGCUUUCAAGUUCCUGCCGGCUCUCUUGGUUUGAUUGCGAAAAACAAAUAUCCCCCACCUAUAUAAAGAAGGAAAAGCAUGUGGAAUUAAGAAUUGUUUGGAGAGGAGGAAUUGGGGCAGAAACGAGCAGCAGUAAAUGCAUAAACGGAGGCAAACCCAAGAAGUUCAUAUGUGGCUAAGGGUGUGUUUGGCUAAAUGUUUUUGCAUCUGCAUCAUUGACGCUUCACCCUAAACGUUAAAUAGAUGAAAAGAUCACAAAAGGAUGUUAAGAACAGUUGGAGACCACAAAAAAAAUAGAGUCAAUGUAAUAAGAUUCAGAUUCAGAGAAAGGUUCAUGCAGUCUUACUGUGUCAACCCAAGAUGAUGCUGCAUUCUACAAAUGUCUUUCAAGAAACAAAAUCCCAUUUUUUAUUCCCCUCUCCUUUUAAAACAAAUGAUGCCCUUGUUGAUUUUAGAGUUCUGAUGUUAUGCAGGUACCCAAGCGGAGGAAGCAUAGACAAUCCUUCCCUUCCAACCCUGCAGCAUCCAUCCACUAUCUUCAUCCACCAUAAAAUCAUUGUGGAAACUGUCUUUCACCUUGCAUUUAAAUUUCCUAAUCAGUUCAGGGUCCAAAGGCAGCUGUCUAAAUCCAGCCCUUGAGUUCCGAACCUGCCACUGCUUAUAUGUCUCGGGUCUCUCAACCCUCCCAGUUCCUUCGCAUGCCAGUACACUCAUAAUCUCCCGCCCGUAGAACUCUUUCUCAAACAUCAACCUCAUCUCAUCUUCACGAGGCAUAUUAGUAUCACACAUAUCAAAGAGUGCAGAGUAGUGAAAGAGUGCUUCCUUGAAACGUGUAACAAAGAAGGGGGUAUUAUAGGAUCCAUUAACAAUGGCUUGGAUAAAAAUGUUUGGACUUAUCUUCCUAAUUAAGUUUAGAACAGCAUUCCUUGGACUAUCCAACACCACUGUCUCAUCAAGUAAGUUCCUGAACCGGAACAAACAAUUUACAGCAACAAACUCAUCAGGAUUAAGCUUCAGGUCAUUGAUUUUGAUGGUUUCCCAUUUUUGUCCAAUGGCAGUGUAUUCGAAUGGAACAUUAAAACGCUCACAAUACUUUUCUAAGUGACGCCCUGUCUCCUGUACUCCUUUUGCUGGCCUGAAACCACUUUGUGGAAGCUCUAUCCCCGUUAUCCGUAGUUUGGGAGGUCCCC